This 83-nucleotide transfer RNA is filed under the name Schistocephalus solidus. It matches the Rfam family "tRNA". Rfam says of the family: Transfer RNA (tRNA) molecules are approximately 80 nucleotides in length. Their secondary structure includes four short double-helical elements and three loops (D, anti-codon, and T loops). The record is from Rfam by way of RNAcentral. Lineage: Eukaryota; Metazoa; Platyhelminthes; Cestoda; Diphyllobothriidea; Diphyllobothriidae.
GGCCUCGUAGCUCAGUCGGCCAGAGCGUUGGCUUUUCUACAGCCUUCUCCUUGCUGGCAUGGGUUUGAAUCCCACCGAGGUCA